GAGACAACUCUUUGCAGAGCUGAAAUCCCUGACACAAAAAUUGCAUACUUUAUUUGUCACAAACUUUAAUUAAUAAUCAUUCUUGCUCUAAUAGAUUCAUUCCUCUGAGGACCCUAAAGUACUUCAGAAAAACUAAAAAAUGAAUAUCACGUUACACCAAAGAAGAAAUGAAAGCUGCCAGUGUCUUCUGAAGUUAAACAGGCUCCUGUUCUUUGACCCAGCAAUCCAAUCCCAGUGCCAUGUUUGUGGACAUCCCCCCACUGCCCUUCAUCCUCAGAAAGGAACAGCCUCCUGUGGGUUGACUUGGUGAUAUCUGUCCAGAGAUAAUGUCUCCAGCCCCAGGCUCAUCACUCAGACAUCUGCCCUCAGGAGGACACGUUCAUCCCCAGCACCAGAGACAUGUCUGCCAAGG
This 412-nucleotide long non-coding RNA is filed under the name Gorilla gorilla gorilla (western lowland gorilla). RNAcentral describes it as "lncRNA (ENSGGOG00000044335.1)". The record is from RNAcentral. Lineage: Eukaryota; Metazoa; Chordata; Mammalia; Primates; Hominidae.